This 484-nucleotide ribosomal RNA is filed under the name uncultured bacterium. Its description in RNAcentral is "partial 16S ribosomal RNA". It matches the Rfam family "Bacterial small subunit ribosomal RNA", at positions 30 to 507 of the family's 1533-position model. The record is from RNAcentral.
AUUGAACGCUGGCGGCAGGCCUAACACAUGCAAGUCGAGCGGAUGAACGGAGCUUUCGCCUGGCUUCAGCUGCCGACGGGUGGGUAAUGCCUACGAAUAUGCCUGGCAUAGGGGGAUAACGUCCGUACACGGGCGCUAAUCCCGCAUACGUCCUUAUGGAGAAAGGGGGGGAUCUUCGGACCACACGCUAUCAGAUGAGCCUAGGUCGGAUUAGCUAGUUGGUGGGGUAAAGGCCUACCAAGGCGACGAUCCGUAACUGAUCUGAGAGGAUGAUCAGUCACACUGGAACUGAGACACGGUCCAGACUCCUACGGGAGGCAGCAGUGGGGAAUAUUGGACAAUGGGCGAAAGCCUGAUCCAGCCAUGCCGCGUGUGUGAAGAAGGUCUUCGGAUUGUAAAGCACUGUAAGUUGGGAGGAAGGGAAGUGAGUGUAUACCUUGCUGUCUUGACGGUACCAACAGAAUAAGCAACGGCUAACUUCGUG